RNAcentral lists this ribosomal RNA (253 nucleotides) under uncultured bacterium. Its description in RNAcentral is "partial 16S ribosomal RNA". It matches the Rfam family "Bacterial small subunit ribosomal RNA", at positions 524 to 776 of the family's 1533-position model. The record is from RNAcentral.
UACGUAGGGGGCAAGCGUUAUCCGGAUUUACUGGGUGUAAAGGGAGCGUAGACGGCGAUGCAAGCCAGAUGUGAAAGCCCGGGGCUCAACCCCGGGACUGCAUUUGGAACUGUAUAGCUAGAGUGUCGGAGAGGCAGGCGGAAUUCCUAGUGUAGCGGUGAAAUGCGUAGAUAUUAGGAGGAACACCAGUGGCGAAGGCGGCCUGCUGGACGAUGACUGACGUUGAGGCUCGAAAGCGUGGGGAGCAGACAGG